CAUGAUUAGCUUAGCUAGGAUUGUUUAGAGGGCAGUCGCAGUCGCCCCAACUCCGAUUCACAAAGCCAUUUUAUUGGCCUUUGCGAGUAGGGUGAGAAACAACAUCGUGUUGGAAACUUUAAUCUUUUUAAAAAAUUAAAGAACUGU
This 147-nucleotide non-coding RNA is filed under the name unclassified sequences. Its description in RNAcentral is "IS605-orfB-II RNA". It matches the Rfam family "IS605-orfB-II RNA". The record is from Rfam by way of RNAcentral.